Molecule: ribosomal RNA, 1433 nt
Filed under: Klebsiella pneumoniae
Lineage: Bacteria; Pseudomonadati; Pseudomonadota; Gammaproteobacteria; Enterobacterales; Enterobacteriaceae
Description: bacterial SSU rRNA
Rfam family: Bacterial small subunit ribosomal RNA
Source: RNAcentral
GGGCAUGGCGGCAGCUACACAUGCAGUCGAGCGGUAGCACAGAGAGCUUGCUCUCGGGUGACGAGCGGCGGACGGGUGAGUAAUGUCUGGGAAACUGCCUGAUGGAGGGGGAUAACUACUGGAAACGGUAGCUAAUACCGCAUAACGUCGCAAGACCAAAGUGGGGGACCUUCGGGCCUCAUGCCAUCAGAUGUGCCCAGAUGGGAUUAGCUAGUAGGUGGGGUAACGGCUCACCUAGGCGACGAUCCCUAGCUGGUCUGAGAGGAUGACCAGCCACACUGGAACUGAGACACGGUCCAGACUCCUACGGGAGGCAGCAGUGGGGAAUAUUGCACAAUGGGCGCAAGCCUGAUGCAGCCAUGCCGCGUGUGUGAAGAAGGCCUUCGGGUUGUAAAGCACUUUCAGCGGGGAGGAAGGCGAUAAGGUUAAUAACCUUGUCGAUUGACGUUACCCGCAGAAGAAGCACCGGCUAACUCCGUGCCAGCAGCCGCGGUAAUACGGAGGGUGCAAGCGUUAAUCGGAAUUACUGGGCGUAAAGCGCACGCAGGCGGUCUGUCAAGUCGGAUGUGAAAUCCCCGGGCUCAACCUGGGAACUGCAUUCGAAACUGGCAGGCUAGAGUCUUGUAGAGGGGGGUAGAAUUCCAGGUGUAGCGGUGAAAUGCGUAGAGAUCUGGAGGAAUACCGGUGGCGAAGGCGGCCCCCUGGACAAAGACUGACGCUCAGGUGCGAAAGCGUGGGGAGCAAACAGGAUUAGAUACCCUGGUAGUCCACGCCGUAAACGAUGUCGAUUUGGAGGUUGUGCCCUUGAGGCGUGGCUUCCGGAGCUAACGCGUUAAAUCGACCGCCUGGGGAGUACGGCCGCAAGGUUAAAACUCAAAUGAAUUGACGGGGGCCCGCACAAGCGGUGGAGCAUGUGGUUUAAUUCGAUGCAACGCGAAGAACCUUACCUGGUCUUGACAUCCACAGAACUUUCCAGAGAUGGAUUGGUGCCUUCGGGAACUGUGAGACAGGUGCUGCAUGGCUGUCGUCAGCUCGUGUUGUGAAAUGUUGGGUUAAGUCCCGCAACGAGCGCAACCCUUAUCCUUUGUUGCCAGCGGUUCGGCCGGGAACUCAAAGGAGACUGCCAGUGAUAAACUGGAGGAAGGUGGGGAUGACGUCAAGUCAUCAUGGCCCUUACGACCAGGGCUACACACGUGCUACAAUGGCAUAUACAAAGAGAAGCGACCUCGCGAGAGCAAGCGGACCUCAUAAAGUAUGUCGUAGUCCGGAUUGGAGUCUGCAACUCGACUCCAUGAAGUCGGAAUCGCUAGUAAUCGUAGAUCAGAAUGCUACGGUGAAUACGUUCCCGGGCCUUGUACACACCGCCCGUCACACCAUGGGAGUGGGUUGCAAAAGAAGUAGGUAGCUUAACCUUCGGGAGGGCGCUACCACUU